Sipha flava (yellow sugarcane aphid) is the source of this 444-nucleotide long non-coding RNA. RefSeq lists it as uncharacterized. The record is from RefSeq and is a predicted model, not a curated record. Lineage: Eukaryota; Metazoa; Arthropoda; Insecta; Hemiptera; Aphididae. The transcript has 3 exons.
AUUAAAAAAUAAUUAUUAAAAGGAUCUUAUUUGUUACUAAACAACUACGCUGAUUUAUAAAACAAUAAUAAUGUAAAAUUAUAAUCCAAAACCUUAGAAGUGCCUUUACAUAAAAUGUCAGAUGUACACUAAUUAAACCAAUGCUUGGAAUCAGUGCUGUAAAAACUGGGUGUGCAGAGUGUGCAUUGCAUGCAGGCCCUGGGCCUCGUUCCACAUAAUGGAACCUCAAUAGAUCAAAUGCUCAAAAAUGUAAAACGAUAAAGGGCCUCAAGAUUUUGAUUUGCUCAUAGGCCUCUCAGUUACGGCACUGGCUGGAAUGUAAUCAACAAUUCAUUUUAUUUCGAUUUAAAGUCCUUAAAAUUAAACUGUAAAACGACUACACUAACCAUGGCUGAUUAUGCUUAAGCACUGGAAGUUGAAUGUUUAUUCGGCUCAACCUGAUGU